GGUUGAAGUUGCACUGGGGAGGCACAACAUACCCCGAAAGAUGAAAGAGCCAAUCCUGGAUGACUACAGCGAGUUUCAGUUGAGAGUCUCUUCUGGCCAAACAACAGCGGACUGGCACUGGCUGGAGGUGUGGGUAGUCACUGGUUGUACCAUCUUGGGGACCCUCUUUUCACUGGCAAUAAACAUGUUGGUUAAGUCGGCGGAAUCGUAGCACUGAGGACCUUUCAGCAAGUCAGGAGUGCAUCAACCACCCAUCAGAGCCUUCAAGGACAACCUGUGACAAUGACUGCAGUGCCAGGUGGAUCCACCAGAGGCUAGAAGAACUUAUUCCACAGGCACACUAUUCCAGCAAAGCCUAUCGAACCCUGGGCAUCACAGGCCUGAGAAGGAGAAUUGUCAUUAACAACAAAGUCGAGGCAGCAGAGAAGGCGUCUAGAUGGCUGUGGCUAAGAAGGGGAGAGCAAUGGGGUCAGUAGCAGUAUGCCCCAUGGACACAGGCCAAGGAUUGGCCUACCUUGAUUGGGUCACCUAGUGGAUGGUGUAUGUUGUAAGACCCAAAACAUUCGUUGAUACCAGGAAACAAAACUGAUGACAUGUCGAAGUUAGAGCAUCAGAGGAUUUAUGACAAACUGGGUCCUUUUUAAAGUAAAUUCACAAAACCUAAAACAGGGACAACGAAAUCCUGAAAAACAUCAAGACAAAAGAUGAAAAAAGUUAAAUUGGAGCAGGUUACUGGCACGACUGGGUAAAAGGGCUGUCCAGAGAGCUUGGGUCUUUCCACAGCAAAGAUGGUGAGUGGCGCACUGCUCUGUGAAUACUGAACACUGUUCCACAGUUCAACAAAGAGACUGCAUCUUUGAUAGCAGUUUUGUUUUUAUUCUGGAUUUUGGCAUACUUUCAAAGCAAUCGAAAAUAUGUGACCAAAAAUCAGACUGCCAACACCAGAAGCAGAACAUCCUACUGUCAACGUUUCAGGACUUGUUUGAGAAUUUCAGAGUGGUGGGGACGUCAGCCCUGGAUUUCCAUUUUACAGGACGUUUCCUUUAUUUAGAUAAAUGCUCCUUGCAGUAACGAUAACCACACAUAAUGUUGUAGUCAGAUGACAGUGAAUGAGAUGUGAUGGUGAUAAAUUGCAGACAUGGAAGGUACUUUCAACAGUGUCUGAAGCCUCGAAGUCAAGCUUUAAAUAGACUGAAGAAGUAGAAAGCAGAAAAUGAAUUGAAGAAAUAACCUUGAGUUGGUAAUCCAUUAAAGAAAAAGACCAAGAGGAGAAAAAAAGAACAACAUCAGUAAUAUUGCCAUCAACCAGGUCAUCAGUCUAGACUGGACAAGUCUUGGUCAUGUUUUAUGAUGGGAGAAAUGCAAGGAGUCAGCAGUUCAAUACUCCUCUUCUUAAGGAUAUAAAACGUCAGUCAGACUGAACACCCUCAGACCUUAAUAACAAAUGUCUAUGGAUCAAUAAUAUAAGUCAUUGACUGGCCUUUCCAUGAACUCUUUCAGAAUAUUUCCUUUUUAAAUAUGAUUCCUUUGCUCCCCAAACAACUCAGCUAGCUUUACUUAGAAAAUCUCCUGAGUUCAAACCAAUAAACUUUAAGUACUCUUACAUUUUUCUAUAUUUAUGAUGGACUUUUUUGAUGAUGAAUUUCUAUGCAGAGCAAAGACCCAGACAUUCUUGAAAGUGAUGUUACAGGACGAGAAAAAACAGAGAUGAUGGGCUUUGGUAUUGCUUUUUAGUGACAGGCUUCAAAACCUGCAGAAACUGGAGUACACUGCUGCUGUCAAGGAUAUUUGUGGGACGCCCCUGUUGGAUAGUGUGUACCACUGUAUUAUCAAAACAUUGUUGCUGUUGAACAUGCUUGAUGUUGACAGGUCAGGCAAUUCAUACCUCAUGGGACAACUCUGUGACAUUUUUCUCAUGGUCAAGUAGAGCUUGGCUUUUGGCUUUGGUGAUGAAAAGAGGCGUGUCCAGAUGUUAUUUUUUUUUUCUGUGGUGGCUCAACUUUGGCACUGAUUCAUGCAUAGGUGGCAUUAGGGCCGGGCGAUAUGGUCUCAAAUCAGUAUUACAAUAUAUUGAGCAGUUCACCUCGAUAGUGAUAAUGGACAAUAACUACUCCACAAGCUGCUAACCCCACCGUCCUCCACCUCCUCACAUGACUUUCCCUCUUUGUUACGGACUGGAUGGGAUGGAGUCAUGUCUAUGAUGUAGAACAGCAUCUUAAAGGGAGAUGAGACCAUAGCCUACCUACACACAUCAAAAAACAACUUUUAUUUAUGUAUUUUUUUGACACCUAAUAUACCGAUAUGGGCAAAAUGACUUCAGUUAUUGUCGGUAUUGUAAAUUUCUGGUUUGUCACCCAGCCCUAGGUGGCAUCAAGUGUCUCUGUCUACUGAAAAGGAACAAAUACAAUCAAAUAAAGAUAUUUUCUCUUUUUAUAAUGCGCUGGUUGAGGUAACGUGAUAGGGAAAGAGUUAUUCAUAAACUUCCAUAGUCUGGGGUAAGGCAGAGUUGAGUUGAUGGUUGUGUUGCUGUUUCUCUGGAGGCUAAAAGAUCACCUCGGCCCUAUCUCUGUACCUGUUGUUAUGGUGAUCUGAAGUUUGGUUGAGGGAACGCUGUCACUUUUACUGUUCUUUAACGUUUGUUUGCACAUUAAGAGAAUGCUGUAUUAUUUAUGUUCUUCCUUUAUCGGCUGAGGUUUUGUUAACUACCUGGCUUACUUGCAUUUGUGCUAUUCACCUUCUGGUUCAAAGCCUGGCAUGAUUGAGCAGUAUACAUGGAAGGGAAAAUGGAUACUAAUGACUAUGAGAAGUUCAGUUCAGUGGGAUUUUAGUUGGACUGAUGUGUUACAUGUUUUUCCCAGUUCCAGUCAGACUCAAUAAUUUGAACAACAUGGAAACAUAUUGAAUUAUUGUUUAAAAUUUGGGGUGGCCCAUCCUAAGGGGGACUUUUCCACCCCUGGCUGACCCUUUGGACACUACCCUGGUUGUGGCCUCUUUCUUCUCUUUCUACUGCAACUUCUUUGCACCAAGGGUUCAAACUAGUGAUGUGAAAUAUCCAACUCUGGCAUUACACUGAUAAAGUUUCCUGCAUAUUUUGAGCAGUAUUUUCUGACAGCCUAAUUACGAGGAGUUACGCAUCUUUUGAUCUGUCUGUCAAGAAGGUUUGCAAAAACUAGAAAAUAAAAUUUGCAACAUAAGCUGCUGGGAAGCUGACCUAUAGAGAGCAAACUUUUGGCAGGGGGGUCAAUGUAAGAUUUGGAACAUUUUUAAAAUCCUAAUUAAUCCUAAAAACACGAUGGCAUAGUUUCAGAAUUAAUGAUGCUGUAAAGAAAUGCCCAUUUCUGACAUCUCUUUGGAGAGCAUAUUUGUGAAAAACACCUGCAUACAACAAAGAGUGGAACUAUUUUAUGUUUUGCUUUUGCUGUUUUAUGUGUCUUCACUGAACAAAAAGACACUGCUACAUGAAAGCAGGUAAGACACAAGGGCUGACAAAGGCUGAGGGUGAAUUGGUGUCGCGCUUUUCUGUUCAGAGGACAAGAGACUGAUGCAGAGUAAAGGCUACCACCACCUAGAGAAGGAGGGGGGCACUGUCUGGCUAUAAGAAACGGAAAGAUAUUUGGUGAGAGAGAGAGAGAGGAAGUGAGAGAGGGAGAGAGAGAAAGAGAAAGACUGAGAGAAGUUCAGCACCAAGGACAGCGCACCGGAGCGCUGGAGAGAAGAAAUCAGUUCAGUGCACUGGAGCUGCGCGCAGUCAUGCCUCCCUGAACUAGUGGAGACUGUACUGUACCCGACAGUCGCACCCAGUCAGUGUCGCCCUGUGCAAGUGGGAAAGUGGGAGCUCCGCCUGUUGUUGUUGUUUUUAUUUUUUUUAUAAUCCAGGAUCGCUGAACAAGGAGUCAAGAUCGCCGCAGAGAGAAGUGCGUUGCUCUUGCAAACACAGACCAGCGUGUUAGUCAGCGCGAUCCUUACAUCAUCUCUUUAUUGGGGAGAGAGAGAGAGAAAGGGUGAGAGAGACAUAGGGGGAGAGUGAGAGAGAAAGGGAAAGCAAGAGAGAGGGAGAGAGAGAGAGCGAAAGAGGGAGUCCGUGCAGCCAGGCUCCUCUUGCCAGUCCUCUGCUGAGAAGCAAGUGUGACGGACCGACUGGCGUUACCUCCUCCCUGCUUUUUUUCCCCCCUCUGAGUGUUUCCUCUCUCUCUCUCCCAUCGUGCUGCGUCCACACUGGCCGUGAAGAUGCACCGGCACCGUCCUGCCCGGGGAUUGACGUUGUUAUUGCCGGUCGCUUUGUGGAUUUUCAGCCAUGGCAGCGGUGUGCACGGAGCUUUGCCAACAACCCGUAAGUUUUCCCUUUUUCGUUUAAUUUCUGGAUGUGUCUCCCGGCGUUGACUGGGUGACUCUGGAUGUGGGUGAAAGGCUGGAUGGAGCCUGUCUGAGGCGGGGAUGGUGCUGCAGGUAUCCCCACGGUGGUGUCAGCCUGGAGCCCUACGGAGCUCCAAAAGCCAGGCUCCACAUGAGAGAGAGAGAGGCGGGGGUUACCCUCUGAGUUUAGACCCACAUGUGCUCACUCCCUAGGAUCUCUGCGUCUUAGAUAUUGGUGCCAGUUUGGUUAUUUUGAUCAGGGUAUCCAGCGUUUUAUAUGCGUUUUUUGGCAUCCCUUGGACUAAAAUCGUGAGGGACCUUUGGGGACUUUAAGGACUGGACUGUAUUCGUCCAGAAUAUGACAACAACAUAAAAAGUAUCCAUCAAUCUACACAAGUUUUCAGACUUUUUGGGGAGCUUCAAAUCUGUUAGCAGAGAAACAUUUGAUAUAUCAUAUUGAGACUAUUCUUGAGUAGUCAUAAAGGUUGAUGACAAGUUUUGUAUGAUAGUUAAAGUUUGAUAAUUUCUUUAAACUUUUAACACACCAGAGUUUCUUCCAUGGAUAAGUUUAAAACCUGAAGACCAUACUCAAUUGAUUAAAAGUGAGACUCCAAAUACCAGACAAUAAUAAAUGAGUUUAUCCUUUGGUUUAUUUGUUUGUUUGUUUUUGGCUUCCUUAUAACAGCUUGCAGUGUGAGCAUCUACAAUCUGUUCAGGCUUCAGAUCCCCUCUCAUUUCUUUGUAUCUAGCACCUUCUUGGUUGAUAAUUUAUGAUUGUUUACUCUUGUCAACACUCAAGACUCGUGAAAUUAUCUAGUUUUAUCCACAUUCCUUCACCACGUUGAAGGAUUUUUGGCCCUGUCCAUCUUAAAGGAGACACCUCUGUUCCGGCUCAGUCUUCUGGAAUCAUCCACGCUCAGCUCGGCUCGCUGUUGUUCUCGGUGUCGCUGACGGUGUGACUGAUUCCCCCGGUGAUCGCCGGGGCUUCUCGGGUCCCGGAUGAAUGUGUCCGGGGACGCGCCUCAUUAAUCAUCCCGCCCGACAGAGGGACGGAGAGAGACGGCACCGCGAGCCGUUUGCGCGUGCGUUUGCGCGUGCGUGCCUCUGCCACGGAUGUGCCAGCGUGCGCGCAGACAUUGUCAGCGGAGUAAAGUUAUAUGUCAUAAGAGCCAGCUUACAGUUAAUAGACGCUAUAGCGAUGAGACUUAAUUUAUUGAUCCCUUUAUGGAAAUCCUCGCGCCUCUCGUCAGCUGGCGGGUGGGGUGGGUUGGUGUGGGGUCCCAUGGAGCAGAGACUCAGUGUCCUGAUGAAAGAAUCUUAAGCUGAGCUAAUGAUGCGGAUUUAGAGUCUUGUAUUAAUAGCUACAUUAAAUAUAGAUUGGUUGGGUCUAUCAAAUAACAACACUAUUACACAAGAUUAAUCUGAGUACUCAUAAUAAUGCAGUUCUAAAUGUCAGGUUGCAGUUUAAAAUGAUGGCUGUAAAGCAUAUCUAAACAUUGAGGGCAGCAGUAGCUCAGGAGGGAGAGCGGUCGUCCAAUAAUUGUAAAGUUGGCGGUUCGAUUCCUCCCCUAUCCCAGGACUGUCCAUUGUUCCCUUGGGCAAGACACUCAACCCACCUUGCUCUCAGUGUGUGUCCUCCUCUGGUGCAUGAUUGUGAGUGUUGUGUGGUGGUGUUCGAAGCGGCCACAGGCGCAAACUGGCAGCCACGUUUCCAUCAGUCUGCUACUACUAAAGUAGUUUACCACAACCAAGGUGUGACUGUGUGAGCGAAUGAAUGAUGUAUCCAUUAAAAGCGCUUUGAGGGUGUCUGAUAAAGCGCUAUAUGAAAUCUGAUGCAUUGUUUGGUCUAAAUCUGAAAAAAAAAAAGUGUUUAAAAAAAAUCUGGUGAUCCAAUGUACAAAGCCAAAACAAAUUAUACAUCACUUUUUUAAUUGUCUUGAAACUUUAGAGUAAUUUUUUUAUGUUAUUCCAUCAAAGGUUAAGAAAAUCUUGGGAAGUCUGUGUUCUAAAAGUACAGUGGAAAGGUGGCACUACAUUAAAAACAGAUGUGAAUCACUGCAUGAGCUCUGAAACAUCUUCUGUGAACUUUAUUCUCUGCUGUGUCCACAAAUACAGGUAAAAGUCAACUGUGUGAACCAUAUAUUAACGUGAUUUCAGUUCAAACACACAUAAGGUGGACUAGAAUCAUUUAGAAAUGAACAGUCUUUUUGGAAAUCAUGGACACUGCAUCCUCCACACUUACAGUGCAGAGUUUAAAAGUCAUCAUAUGUGAUGGCACAGAGAUGCGUGAGAGCCAGGCUCACACAUCUGGAGAGGCGUCAUGAAUUCUGAACAAUAAAUUCAGGUUGUUGAGCCAUUGUGCUUCCACCAAGACACCUCUUUCAGGGAAUAAGUCAAUUUAUCGAUAUUUUCCAUAGGUGUUGCCAUAAUCAGAGCACAGACAGUGUGGAGCAGUUUCUCUUUGAUAUAGAAUAACACAGAUAUGACAGCUUUUUUUUAAUAAUAUAGUUUAAAAGCAUGUUCACAAAGAAGAAAAUUGUGGCUGUUUGCUUGUCCGAGCUCUUUUAUAUAGAUCCUGGUUAUAAUUUGGAUGAUAUUUUUGCUUCUCCAUGUGGCAGAUCAAUUUUCUCUGCUUUUCUGUUUCUGAAACUGUCAAAAAUAAGCCUUUUGUGCAAGUCUGAUUUGGAUCCUGAAAGCGUCAUCAGUUUUUUGCAGCAUACUUUCGCUAAGUUUCGUGAAAGUCAAGGCAGUAGUUUUCUUGAAUCCCGUUCAUAAAUAUACACACACAAAUCUAAAAACAGUGUUUUUGCAGAGGGAAUAAGAAAUGUAAUCCAACAGUACAACACAAUAGUAAUAUCAAAGUGUAAAGGAAGCUCAGGGUAGGAUUUGUCCGAUGUGUGGCAAACAAGAAAGAGAGUGAGUGUGUGUUUGACAGGGACAUGGGGGAAGAGAGAGAGCUCACAGUGAGAGGCAGAGCGAGAGAGAGACAUACAAACAGCAUGUUGAAUCGGACCACCAGCUCCAGCCUUGAGCUUAAAUCUGAGUGCUGACUUUAUCCCUCCUCAGGGGCUGGAUGUGAAACACUCAGGGGAAUAGACGAUGUCGUUGUGUCCAAUGGUCUGAGGCAUGGACUAAAAAAAGAUUAACAUUUCUAUCCCGCCAGGGCAAACAGACUCACAGACUCAAAGUCAAUGGGCUGGUUGACCCAUUGACUGUGCGGAGUCUCCCAAAUGCAUCCUAGAUAAAUAAUAAAAAAAGGAUUUCUCCCCUUUGUAGAUGCUCUCUGUGCAUUUGCAUAUUAAUUUAUAUGUUAGUGCAUGGUUCUGCAUAGCGGUAAUCCAGGGAUUUUCUCCAAGGCGGGCCUGGCUUAGUGUGACCAUCAGUUUCAUGCUGCUUUCUAGUAUCUCUUCACAUCUACUGUAUUCCAGCCAAAACAGAACAGAACAAACACAGAGACGCAGAGCGAGCCCUGAUACAAGCGUCUCUCAGCACAGGUGCGCACUCACACACCUGCAGAUGCUCUCACAAUAGCAAAAGUAUGUGUUUGUCCUUGUUGUACCUCAGCUGCUGCCUCCAUUAACAGUAUGUGUUGUUGUCGUAGUGUUCCUUAAGUAAAGGUCUCUUACAUCUACUCUGAUGUCUCGUAAUUACUGAGACAUUCAUUCCUUUCUACGUCGGUGCUGGGAGGACAAAAAUGAGAAAAAUCUCAGUUCUUUGCUAUUAUGUAGUGAAUGAGUGGCUUUAUUUUGUAUAAUUGUAUAAGUACAAUUUUAAUGUGAAGAAUUUGCACAUUUAACUUGGAAUUUCCAUACUUUUCCAUACCCUAUUUUUUAGUAUUAUCUUUGGAAAUACCUACUUUUCCAUUUUAGAAAACAGUAUUUUAGAACUGUGGUAAUAGUAUGGAAACAUAAAUAUUUUUCCAUACUUUAUUUUUCAUUUUCCAUACUUUUUAAAACCUGGAAAUUGAUCUUUUUUUCCAUACUUGCUCAGGAAACCCGAUUUAAACAAGACUCUGUGAUGUAAAUGCUUUAAAGCUCCUCUGUGUGGAAGUUUAAGUAUGUUCUCAUCUUGGCAACCCCUGUUGUACCUCUAUUUGCUUCAUAUACUUUCUCGUUAGAAGUGUUUUCAAACCAUAAAAUUGUCAUUUGUCUAUUUUGAAAUGCAAAUAUAGAAACUCUCAAAGAGCCUUUGCCUACCAUCUAUCCGUCACCCACCCUUGCAGUUGUACUUUAAAAAGCUGAUCAAUUUUAAUACUCAUGGUUUUGUCUCUUUUAUGUGUCAUUUAAAGGCACUAAUAUAAAUGUGAGUCUGUUUCAUUCCCAGUUGAAAAUCCUCACUGGAGCUUUAAUCUCAUUAGUUUAUUAGCAGACUCAGCCAGCCUCUCCCAUGCUUACCUUGAACUCUGUUGUUGUGUUUUACACCAUUGCAGUCCAUCGCUUCAUGCGUAAAUAGCUGGACCUAUCAUCAUUAUCAUUGCCAUUAUUAUUGUUAUUUUACAUUCUCUGUGCCAGUGAGAGAAAAGAGAAGGAUAUGCUUUAACACCAGUGUGUUAGCAACACUGUGGGUGGCCGAGUUGGAUGCCCUUAGAGCCUGUCUGAUAUAGAAUCAGAUUACCCUUUUCUUAUCUCAUUAAGCAUGCCAGACCAUUUGACACAGACACAGUCUGGUUGCACCUCAGGAGCUAUAUAGGGCAACACCAGGUUUCCAGUUUUUUAGUUUGACUCCAA
Molecule: long non-coding RNA, 9080 nt
Filed under: Xyrichtys novacula (pearly razorfish)
Lineage: Eukaryota; Metazoa; Chordata; Actinopteri; Labriformes; Labridae
Source: RNAcentral